CCUACGGGAGACAGCAGUGAGGAAUAUUGGUCAAUGGACGAGAGUCUGAACCAGCCAAGUAGCGUGAAGGAUGACUGCCCUAUGGGUUGUAAACUUCUUUUAUAUGGGAAUAAAAUGUUCCACGUGUGGGAUUUUGUAUGUACCAUAUGAAUAAGGAUCGGCUAACUCAGUGCCAGCAGCCGCGGUAAUACGGAGGAUCCGAGCGUUAUCCGGAUUUAUUGGGUUUAAAGGGAGCGUAGGUGGAUUGUUAAGUCAGUUGUGAAAGUUUGCGGCUCAACCGUAAAAUUGCAGUUGAAACUGGCAGUCUUGAGUACAGUAGAGGUGGGCGGAAUUCGUGGUGUAGCGGUGAAAUGCUUAGAUAUCACGAAGAACUCCGAUUGCGAAGGCAGUUCACUGGACUGCAACUGACACUGAGGCUCGAAAGUGUGGGUAUCAAACAGGAUUAGAUACCCUUGUAGUC
Molecule: ribosomal RNA, 460 nt
Filed under: uncultured bacterium
Lineage: Bacteria
Description: partial 16S ribosomal RNA
Rfam family: Bacterial small subunit ribosomal RNA
Source: RNAcentral